UGGACGUGAUUAUUGUAUUCGACUGUAUUCACGGCGUGAAAUUGGAGAUUACACUGUUUUUAAACGGAAAGUGAAUCAAUUAACAUAAUAGAAUCCU
RNAcentral lists this microRNA precursor (97 nucleotides) under Nicotiana sylvestris (wood tobacco). Its description in RNAcentral is "MIR6152 microRNA precursor family". It matches the Rfam family "MIR6152 microRNA precursor family". RNAcentral also lists the same sequence under 1 other name. The record is from Rfam by way of RNAcentral. Lineage: Eukaryota; Viridiplantae; Streptophyta; Magnoliopsida; Solanales; Solanaceae.